AACGAACGCUGGCAGCAUGCCUAACACAUGCAAGUCGAACGAGAUCUUCGGGUCUAGUGGCGCACGGGUGCGUAACGCGUGGGAAUCUGCCCUUUGGUUCGGAAUAACAGUUGGAAACGACUGCUAAUACCGGAUGAUGACGAAAGUCCAAAGAUUUAUCGCCAGAGGAUGAGCCCGCGUAGGAUUAGCUAGUUGGUGUGGUAAAGGCGCACCAAGGCGACGAUCCUUAGCUGGUCUGAGAGGAUGAUCAGCCACACUGGGACUGAGACACGGCCCAGUCUCCUACGGAAGGGAGCAGUGGGGAAUAUUGGACAAUGGGCGAAAGCCUGAUCCAGCAAUGCCGCGUGGGUGAUGAAGGCCUUAGGGUUGUAAAGCUCUUUUACCCGGGAUGAUAAUGACAGUACCGGGAGAAUAAGCUCCGGCUAACUCCGUGCCAGCCGCCGCCGUAA
This 449-nucleotide ribosomal RNA is filed under the name uncultured bacterium. RNAcentral's name for it is "partial 16S ribosomal RNA". It matches the Rfam family "Bacterial small subunit ribosomal RNA", at positions 29 to 523 of the family's 1533-position model. The record is from RNAcentral.